RNAcentral lists this long non-coding RNA (240 nucleotides) under Carica papaya (papaya). RNAcentral's name for it is "long non-coding RNA (CPAP_LNC015573)". The record is from RNAcentral. Lineage: Eukaryota; Viridiplantae; Streptophyta; Magnoliopsida; Brassicales; Caricaceae.
UAUUUUUUCUUUAAACGCGAUCGGACAGUCGAGAUCAAAUGCGAUGAACGGUCCAAAUUUAAGGGAGACGGGUAUAAAUAUCUCUAAUCACAUUGAACCUAAACCUUAGCUGCCAGUCUCCUGCCGAAGAAGAAGAACCAGUCGCUGGAGAAGGGAGCCGACCACCACCCGUCGCUGCACCGGAGCCACCUCUGACUGCCAAAAAAUAUAAAAAUUCUCCUAUCCGCUUGAAAUUUGAUU